Molecule: Y RNA, 102 nt
Filed under: Aotus nancymaae (Ma's night monkey)
Lineage: Eukaryota; Metazoa; Chordata; Mammalia; Primates; Aotidae
Description: Y RNA (ENSANAG00000012483.1)
Rfam family: Y RNA
About the family: Y RNAs are components of the Ro ribonucleoprotein particle (Ro RNP), in association with Ro60 and La proteins.
Source: Rfam by way of RNAcentral
GGCUGGUUCGAGUGCAGUGGUAUUGACAACUAAUUGAUGACAUCCAGUUACAGAUUUCUUUGUUCCUUCUUCACUCCUGCUGGUUCACUUUACUAGCCUUAA